Oryza sativa Indica Group (long-grained rice) is the source of this 205-nucleotide microRNA precursor. It matches the Rfam family "MIR812 microRNA precursor family". The record is from Rfam. NCBI's taxonomy places the organism in Eukaryota, Viridiplantae, Streptophyta, Magnoliopsida, Poales, Poaceae.
AAAAAGACAAACUCUGAUUUCCGUGUCCAAUAUUUGACCGUCUGUCUUAUUUAAAAAAAUAUGAAAAUAAAUUUAAAAAAUAAGUCACGCAUAAAGUAUUAAUCAUGUUUUAUUAUCUAACAACAAUAAAAAUAAUAAUUAUAAAAAAAUUUUAUAUAAGAUGGACAGUCAAACGUUGGCAUAGAAACCAGGGUUUGCCUUUUUU